AUGCAGCGAAUAAUUGAGAAACAGCACCAUGUUGUGAUUACCGAUAGGAUGUGGGCGAGGCUCCUGUCUUCAACAAAUCAGCCAAGCUUUAUGAACCAUAAAGAUGUCAUUGAAGACAAGAAAGAGGAAGAACUACUAACCCAGAUUGUCAAUGAAGACAAGAAAGAGGAAGAACUACCAACCAAGAUACCGGACAUUUCUACUGAAGACAAUUUGGUGAAGAAAGAGAUAGCUGCCUAGGAAGAACUACCAACCAAGAUAUCACAAAACUUAUGUACAUGAGUAUUAU
Molecule: long non-coding RNA, 289 nt
Filed under: Citrus sinensis (sweet orange)
Lineage: Eukaryota; Viridiplantae; Streptophyta; Magnoliopsida; Sapindales; Rutaceae
Description: long non-coding RNA (CSIN_LNC001725)
Source: RNAcentral